Molecule: ribosomal RNA, 465 nt
Filed under: uncultured bacterium
Lineage: Bacteria
Description: partial 16S ribosomal RNA
Rfam family: Bacterial small subunit ribosomal RNA
Source: RNAcentral
CCUACGGGUGGCAGCAGUGGGGAAUAUUGCGCAAUGGGCGAAAGCCUGACGCGGCGACGCCGCGUGCGGGAUGAAGGUCUUCGGAUCGUAAACCGCUGUCAGCAGGGAAGAACGGUCACUGUGCUAAUCAGCAGUGAAUUGACGGUACCUGCAAAGGAAGCACCGGCUAACUCCGUGCCAGCAGCCGCGGUAAUACGGAGGGUGCGAGCGUUAAUCGGAAUUACUGGGCGUAAAGCGCUCGUAGGCGGUAUGUCAAGUCAAGGGUGAAAUCCCCGGGCUCAACGUGGGAACUGCAUUUGAAACUGGCAAACUGGAGUGUGUGAGAGGAUAGUGGAAUUCCAGGUGUAGGAGUGAAAUGCGUAGAUAUCACGCAGAACACCGAUGGCGAAGGCAGCAUACCGGCGACAAACUGACGCUGAAGCACGAAAGCGUGGGUAGCGAACAGGAUUAGAUACCCGAGUAGUC